AUGGAGGCGAGGGUUGCGGUGCUCGUGCUGCUGGCGCUGGUGCUCGUCCCGGAGGCGUGCCGGGCGGAGCGGUUCGUCGUCGGCGACGCGGCGCGGUGGACGUGGGGGUACAACUACACCGACUGGGUCAUCAGGAAGGGCCCCUUCUUCCAGGACGACACCCUUGUGUUCACGUACGACCCGCCGAACGCGACGACGCACGCGCACAGCGUGUACAUGAUGCGGAACCUGGCCGACUACCAGUCCUGCAACCUCAAGGCGGCCAAGCUGGUGGCCGGCGUGGCCGAGGGCGCCGGCGCGGGCUUCGAGUUCGUCCUCAAGAAGCGCAAGAUGCACUACUUCGUCUGCGGCGAGCGCCAAGGCCUCCACUGCACCGCCGGCCAGAUGAAGUUCAUCGUCAAGCCCAAGAGCUCCGUCUGCCGCGACUGA
This 429-nucleotide ribosomal RNA is filed under the name Triticum aestivum (bread wheat). RNAcentral's name for it is "partial small subunit ribosomal RNA". The record is from RNAcentral. Lineage: Eukaryota; Viridiplantae; Streptophyta; Magnoliopsida; Poales; Poaceae.